UGACAUCAUUGGGACACUUUCAACAGCAUGGCAGGAAUUUCCUGCCAUUGAUCAAGCCCCACCUAUUCAGCUGAUGGGCCAGAGGAGAAACUCGAUCACCUAAUAAGAAAGAAGCAGAGGAGAGAGGAAGGAGAAAUUGAGAGAAAUGCCUAAACCUGGACAUCCUUGAACUUGAAGGGCUUCUGCACAGCACUGCGACUAAUACACGGUUUCCGGAGCAUUUGGG
Long non-coding RNA from Sinocyclocheilus anshuiensis, 226 nucleotides. RefSeq lists it as uncharacterized. The record is from RefSeq and is a predicted model, not a curated record. NCBI's taxonomy places the organism in Eukaryota, Metazoa, Chordata, Actinopteri, Cypriniformes, Cyprinidae. The transcript has 3 exons.